RNAcentral lists this ribosomal RNA (253 nucleotides) under uncultured bacterium. RNAcentral describes it as "partial 16S ribosomal RNA". It matches the Rfam family "Bacterial small subunit ribosomal RNA", at positions 524 to 776 of the family's 1533-position model. The record is from RNAcentral.
UACGUAGGUGGUAAGCGUUGUCCGGAAUUACUGGGUGUAAAGCGCGUGUAGGCGGGAGGCCAAGUCUGCUGUGAAAUCGCUCGGCUCAACUGGGCGGGGUCGGUGGAAACUGGUCACCUGGAGGACGGUAGAGGCGAGUGGAAUUCCCGGUGUAGUGGUGAAAUUCGUAGAUAUUCGCAAGAACACCAGUGGCGAAGGCGGCUUACUGGUCCGGUUCUGACGCUGAGGCGCGAAAGCGUGGGGAGCAAACAGG